Non-coding RNA from Epinephelus lanceolatus (giant grouper), 72 nucleotides. The record is from the annotation of a RefSeq genome assembly. Lineage: Eukaryota; Metazoa; Chordata; Actinopteri; Perciformes; Serranidae.
UCCCAUAUGGUCUAGUGGUCAGGAUUUCUGGUUUUCACCCAGGAGGCCCAGGUUCAACUUCUGGUAUGGGAA